This 492-nucleotide ribosomal RNA is filed under the name uncultured bacterium. Its description in RNAcentral is "partial 16S ribosomal RNA". It matches the Rfam family "Bacterial small subunit ribosomal RNA", at positions 29 to 507 of the family's 1533-position model. The record is from RNAcentral.
AUUGAACGCUGGCGGCAUGCUUUACACAUGCAAGUCGAACGGUAACAGGCCUUCGGGUGCUGACGAGUGGCGAACGGGUGAGUAAUGCAUCGGAACGUACCCAGAGGUGGGGGAUAACGCAGCGAAAGCUGUGCUAAUACCGCAUGUGAUCUGAGGAUGAAAGCGGGGGACCGAGCAGCAAUGUUUGGCCUCGCGCCUUUGGAGCGGCCGAUGUCGGAUUAGCUAGUUGGUGGGGUAAAGGCCUACCAAGGCGACGAUCCGUAGCUGGUCUGAGAGGAGGAACAGGCAAACUGGGAAUUAGGAACGGGCCAAACCUCAAAGGGAGGGAGGAAGGGGGAAAUUUGGAACAUGGGGGGAAGGCUGAACCCGGAAUGCCGCGGGGGGGAAAAAGGGCCUGCGGGUGGUAACCGGUUUUUGGCGGGAAGGAAAGGUUUCCGGCUAAACCGGGGGGUUAUGACGGUACCUGCAGAAUAAGCACCGGCUAACUACGUG